UAACGUCAUAAAUACACCGUCUGGCUGCAAAGAGUAAAAAUCUAAGAACUAAACUACACUAUAAAACACAUCCUAAAUUAUUUGCAAUACAUACUCAAUUACUAAAUAUUGGUUGUGUCAACAACAAUGUGUUUUAUACAAACACAUUGUGGUUGACGAGAGAAUGAAACCAUUGAGACUCAAGGGAACAAACCAAACCUCGCCUAAAUGUUGAGUUAUUGGACAUUACUUAUAAUGACAGUCUACAGUUGAAGAAAACAUCACAUUAGUGUUUAUGUUACACAAAAGCAGCAAAAUAAUUGUACUUGGGAAAUAUUUUUGCCUGUUACAUGUAAUUAGAGAUUCUUUAAUAAAAACAGUAAUCAAUAGUUAACUUCUGACAAAUGAAAGAAAACACUAUAUAUGUGGUCAAAGUAAAACUGCCUUAACUUCCUCUUGCUUGUGGUUAAAAUCAGCCUGUUAUUUUGAAAGUUAUUUUUUUCAUCUCUGAUGUCUUGAAAGAAACAAGACAGCAUCAUGCAAAAGUAUUUUCACAUCCCGAAGAUUCUUCUGAACACUCCUCCAAAAUACAGAGACGGCACCAGACUACACAUCACUGAACUGACUGAAAAAAGCAAGAAUCAACACAAUGGCCGAUUACUGUCCUCGUAUCUGCUUUCAUAAAUGGUCUUCUGAUUAUUAUGAUCAUAGGCUUGGUGAAGAGCUACAUUGAUGUAGCUGGAAGAUCUAAAAAUUACACUGCAGCUAAAAACUCCAAUAAUCUACAGUGUGCUGAAAUGGAUUUUCCCGGAAACACCAGAUCUUGCCCAGAGCAGAUUCUGAUUGUCUACACCCAAUGUAUGAUGUAGUAUACAUUAUAAAUAAAUAUAUAAAUAAA
Molecule: long non-coding RNA, 877 nt
Organism: Cyprinus carpio (common carp)
Lineage: Eukaryota; Metazoa; Chordata; Actinopteri; Cypriniformes; Cyprinidae
Source: RefSeq, a predicted model, not a curated record